CCUACGGGUGGCAGCAGUGGGGAAUUUUGCGCAAUGCUCGUAAGAGUGACGCAGCGACGCCGCGUGAAUGACGAAGGCCCUCGGGUUGUUAAGUCUCUUUGACCGGGAAGCACAUGCCUAUAAGUAUCUCUGUAUGUAUUGACGGUACCUGUAUAAGCAGCCCCGGCUAAAUCCGGGCCAGCAGCCGCGGUCAUACGGAGGGGGCGAGCGUUGUUCGGGAUGAAUGGGCGUAAAGAGGACGGGUGCGGUGUUGUUAGUCAUUAGUCAAAGACUAGGGCUCAACCUCAGUAAGGCCAGUGAUACUGGAAGUCUAGAGUAGCAGAGAGGAUUGCAGAAUGCGUGGUGUAGCGGUGAAAUGCAUAGAUAUCAGGAAGAAUACCGUUAGCGAAGGCAGCAAUCUGGCUGCAAACUGACGCUGAGGUACGAAAGCGUGGGUAUCGAACAGGAUUAGAUACCCUUGUAGUC
Molecule: ribosomal RNA, 465 nt
Filed under: uncultured bacterium
Lineage: Bacteria
Description: partial 16S ribosomal RNA
Rfam family: Bacterial small subunit ribosomal RNA
Source: RNAcentral